This 460-nucleotide ribosomal RNA is filed under the name uncultured bacterium. RNAcentral describes it as "partial 16S ribosomal RNA". It matches the Rfam family "Bacterial small subunit ribosomal RNA", at positions 338 to 795 of the family's 1533-position model. The record is from RNAcentral.
CCUACGGGUGGCAGCAGUGAGGAAUAUUGGUCAAUGGGCGAGAGCCUGAACCAGCCAAGUCGCGUGAAGGAUGACGGACCUAUGGUUUGUAAACUUCUUUUGUAGGGGAAUAAAGUGACGAACGUGUUCCUUUUUGUAUGUACCAUGUGAAUAAGCAUCGGCUAACUCCGUGCCAGCAGCCGCGGUAAUACGGAGGAUGCGAGCGUUAUCCGGAUUUAUUGGGUUUAAAGGGUGCGUAGGUGGUUAAUUAAGUCAGCGGUGAAAGUUUGUGGCUCAACCAUAGAAGUGCCGUUGAAACUGGUUGACUUGAGUAUACUUGAGGUAGGCGGAAUGCGUGGUGUAGCGGUGAAAUGCAUAGAUAUCACGCAGAACUCCGAUUGCGAAGGCAGCUUACUAACCUAUAACUGACACUGAAGCACGAAGGCGUGGGGAUCGAACAGGAUUAGAUACCCGUGUAGUC